UACGAGGGGUGCAAGCGUUGCUCGGAAUUAUUGGGCGUAAAGGGUAUGUAGGUGGUCUCAUUUGUCUGGGGUGAAAGCCUUGAGCUUAACUCGAGAAGUGCCUCAGAAACGGUGAGACUAGAGUUCUGGAGAGGGUCGUGGAAUUCCCGGUGUAGCGGUGAAAUGCGUAGAGAUCGGGAGGAACACCAGUGGCGAAGGCGGCUCGCUGGGCCGGCCCUGACGCUGAGGCGCGAAGGCGUGGGGAGCGAACGGG
Molecule: ribosomal RNA, 253 nt
Filed under: uncultured bacterium
Lineage: Bacteria
Description: partial 16S ribosomal RNA
Rfam family: Bacterial small subunit ribosomal RNA
Source: RNAcentral